UUCUUGCCAGGUCAAUAUUAGGUUUC
This 26-nucleotide non-coding RNA is filed under the name Rattus norvegicus (Norway rat). The record is from RNAcentral. Lineage: Eukaryota; Metazoa; Chordata; Mammalia; Rodentia; Muridae.